Molecule: ribosomal RNA, 440 nt
Filed under: uncultured bacterium
Lineage: Bacteria
Description: partial 16S ribosomal RNA
Rfam family: Bacterial small subunit ribosomal RNA
Source: RNAcentral
CCUACGGGAGGCAGCAGUGGGGGAUAUUGCACAAUGGGGGAAACCCUGAUGCAGCGACGCCGCGUGGGUGAAGAAGCGCCUCGGCGCGUAAAGCCCUGUCAGCAGGGAAGAAAAUGACGGUACCUGAAGAAGAAGCCCCGGAUAACUACGUGCCAGCAGCCGCGGUAAUACGGAGGGGGCAAGCGUUAUACGGAUUUACUGGGUGUAAAGGGGGCGCAGACGGCGAUGCAAGCCAGGAGUGAAAGCCCGGGGCCUAACCCCGGGACUGCUCUUGGAACUGCGUGGCUAGAGUGCAGGAGGGGCAGGCGGAAUUCCUGGUGUAGCGGUGAAAUGCGUAGAUAUCAGGAGGAACACCGGUGGCGAAGGCGGCCUGCUGGACUGCAACUGACGUUGAGGCCCGAAAGCGUGGGGAGCAAACAGGAUUAGAUACCCGAGUAGUC